RNAcentral lists this non-coding RNA (214 nucleotides) under Streptomyces lydicus. The record is from RNAcentral. Lineage: Bacteria; Bacillati; Actinomycetota; Actinomycetes; Kitasatosporales; Streptomycetaceae.
CUAGAGUGGCCGGGCCGUGGUGUUCGGGAAGACCGGUGACGGACCUUGUGGUCCCAGGCCGGAGCGGCCCUCGCCACUGUGAUCGGGGAGUUUCCAGCCCUUUUCCGUACGCGCCCGCGCGUACGGCGCCACUGACCGCAGCCUGCGGCCGGGAAGGCGAGGGCGGACGCGUGUACCCGUAAGCCAGGAGACCGGCCACGGCAUCUCACGAACU